GAUGAACGCUGGCGGCGUGCCUAAUACAUGCAAGUCGAGCGAACGGACGAGAAGCUUGCUUCUCUGAUGUUAGCGGCGGACGGGUGAGUAACACGUGGAUAACCUACCUAUAAGACUGGGAUAACUUCGGGAAACCGUAGCUAAUACCGGAUAAUAUUUUGAACCGCAUGGUUCAAAAGUGAAAGACGGUCUUGCUGUCACUUAUAGAUGGAUCCGCGCUGCAUUAGCUAGUUGGUAGGGUAACGGCUUACCAAGGCAACGAUGCAUAGCCGACCUGAGAGGGUGAUCGGCCACACUGGAACUGAGACACGGUCCAGACUCCUACGGGAGGCAGCAGUAGGCAAUCUGCCGCUAUGGUCGAAAGUCUGACGCUGCAACACCGCGUGAGUAAUGAAAGAGUUCGGGUCGUUAACAUCUGUUAUUAGGGAAGAACAUAUGUGGAAGUAACUGUUCACAGAGUGACCGUUCCUAAUCAGAAAGCCACGGCUAUCUUCGUU
RNAcentral lists this ribosomal RNA (497 nucleotides) under uncultured bacterium. RNAcentral's name for it is "partial 16S ribosomal RNA". It matches the Rfam family "Bacterial small subunit ribosomal RNA", at positions 28 to 507 of the family's 1533-position model. The record is from RNAcentral.